AACCUCCGCAAUGUGAGAAAUCGCGACGGGGGGAUCCCAAGUGCCAUUCUUAACGGGAUGGCUUUUCAUUAGUGUAAAGAGCUUUUGGAAUAAGAGCUGGGCAAGACCGGUGCCAGCCGCCGCGGUAACACCGGCAGCUCUAGUGGUAACAAUUUUUAUUGGGCCUAAAGCGUCCGUAGCCGGUUUAAUAAGUCUCUGGUGAAAUCCUGUAGCUUAACUGUGGGAAUUGCUGGAGAUACUAUUAGACUUGAGACCGGGAGAGGUUAGAGGUACUCCCAGGGUAGAGGUGAAAUUCUGUAAUCCUGGGAGGACCGCCUGUUGCGAAGGCGUCUAACUGGAACGGUUCUGACGGUGAGGGACGAAAGUUAGGGGCGCGAACCGGAUUAGAUACCCGGGUAGUCCUAACUGUAAACGAUGCGGACUUGGUGUUGGGGUGGCUUUGAGCUGCUCCAGUGCCGAAGGGAAGCUGUUAGUCCGCCGCCUGGGAAGUACGGUCGCAAGACUGAAACUUAAAGGAAUU
This 520-nucleotide ribosomal RNA is filed under the name uncultured bacterium. Its description in RNAcentral is "bacterial SSU rRNA". It matches the Rfam family "Archaeal small subunit ribosomal RNA", at positions 345 to 866 of the family's 1478-position model. The record is from RNAcentral.